Molecule: ribosomal RNA, 300 nt
Filed under: Triticum aestivum (bread wheat)
Lineage: Eukaryota; Viridiplantae; Streptophyta; Magnoliopsida; Poales; Poaceae
Description: partial small subunit ribosomal RNA
Source: RNAcentral
AUGUGGCGUUGCAUCUAUCAUUUUCAGGAAGCUUCGGUGUCUCAUGAGGUUAACUGUUUCUUUUCAUGGGUGCUCCACUAUAACUUGCGUGCUCUAUAUACCCUCAGAACGUUACCUGUACGGCAGUGCCUUGAAUAUUCUUCUGUAGGACAUUUUUCUGCCGUGCCCACUGAUUUCAUUAAGGCAAUCAUGAAGGUUAAUUACAAACCACUUGCCAAAAAAUGCAAGGAGAAACAUAGCGCUGUAAUGCUAUCAUAUACAUCUGGAAAGGUGGAAGCUGAUUGGUUUGCCCCUCAAUAA